RNAcentral lists this ribosomal RNA (1516 nucleotides) under Candidatus Caldipriscus sp. T1.2. RNAcentral describes it as "bacterial SSU rRNA". It matches the Rfam family "Bacterial small subunit ribosomal RNA". Lineage: Bacteria; Candidatus Caldipriscota. The record is from RNAcentral.
AGGGUUUGAUCCUGGCUCAGGGCUAACGCUGGCAGCGUGCCUUAGCCAUGCAAGUCGAGCGGGGAAGGCUCUUAUGGGUCUUCCCAGCGGCGGACGGCGGAGUAAUACACCGCUAACCUGCCCUGGGGAGGGGGAUAACCUGCCGAAAGGUGGGCUAAUCCCCCAUACGCUCCCUUGGGGGCAUCCCUGAGGGAGGAAAGGGUCUGAGGACUCGCCCUAGGAGGGGGCGGUGGCCCAUCAGGUAGUUGGUGGGGUAAUGGCCCACCAAGCCUAAGACGGGUAGCCGGCGUGAGAGCGCGGUCGGCCCGAGGGGCACUGAGACACGGGCCCCACUCCUACGGGAGGCAGCAGGCUGGAAAUGUGGGCAAUGGGGGAAACCCUGACCCCGCGACGCUGCGUGCGGGAAGAAGCCCUUCGGGGUGUAAACCGCUUUUGCUGGGGACGAAGGUCUGACGGUACCCUGCGAAUAAGCCACGGCUAACCUCGUGCCAGCAGCCGCGGUAAGACGGGGGUGGCGAGCGUUGCCCGGAAUUACUGGGCUUAAAGGGGGUGUAGGCGGCUGGGUGUGUCGGGCGUGUAAUCUUGGGGCUCAACCCCAAGGCUGCGCCCGAGACUACCUGGCUAGAGGGCGCCAGGGGGAGGCGGAACUCCCGGUGUAGCGGUGAAAUGCGUAGAUAUCGGGGGGAACACCGUAGGCGAAGGCGGCCUCCUGGGGCGUACCUGACGCUGAGGCCCGAAGGCUGGGGGAGCAAAGGGGAUUAGAUACCCCCGUAGUCCCAGCAGUAAACGAUGUGGGCUAGCGGUCUGGCCGUUAAGGCUGGGUCGCGAAGGGAAACCGAUAAGCCCACCGCCUGGGGAGUACGCCCGCAAGGGUGAAACUCAAAGGAAUAGACGGGAGCCCGCACAAGCGGCGGAGCGCGUGGUUUAAUUCGAUGCUGACCGAAGAACCUCACCCGGGCUUGACAUCCCGCCGUCAAGCCUGCCCGAAAGGGUAGGUGAGCCUACCGAUGAGGUAGGCAGGCGGGACAGGAGCUGCACGGCUGUCGUCAGCUCGUGUCGUGAGAUGUUGGGUUAAGUCCCGCAACGAGCGCAACCCCUGCCCAUAGUUGCCAGCGGGUCGCCCACGGAUGUGGGCGAUGCUGGGGACUCUAUGGGGACUGCCGGCGAGGAGCCGGAGGAAGGAGGGGACGACGUCAAGUCCGUGUGGCCCUUAUGUCCGGGGCUACACACGCGCUACAAUGGGCGGUACAGAGGGAAGCGACCCUGCGAGGGGGAGCAAAUCCCUAAAACCGCCCCCAGUUCGGAUUGCAGGCUGAAACCCGCCUGCAUGAAGGAGGAGUCGCUAGUAAUCACCUAUCAGCUAUGGGGUGGUGAAUACGUUCCCGGGCUCUGUACUCACCGCCCGUCACGCCAUGGGAGCCGGGGGUGCCUGAAGCCCCACCGAGGGUGGGGUGAAGGCAAACUCGGUGACUGGGGCGAAGUCGUAACAAGGUAGCCGUACGGGAACGUGCGGCUG